RNAcentral lists this ribosomal RNA (1151 nucleotides) under uncultured bacterium. Its description in RNAcentral is "partial 16S ribosomal RNA". The record is from RNAcentral.
CUAGUAACGGCCGCCAGUGUGCUGGAAUUCGCCCUUCGGUGUGUACAAGGCCCGGGAACGUAUUCACCGCGCCGUGGCUGAUGCGCGAUUACUAGCGAAUCCAGCUUCAUGAAGUCGGGUUGCAGACUUCAAUCCGAACUGAGAGAGGUUUUUGGGAUUGGCAUCCACUUGCGUGGUAGCAGCCCUCUGUACCCCCCAUUGUAACACGUGUGUAGCCCCGGACGUAAGGGCCGUGCUGAUUUGACGUCAUCCCCACCUUCCUCACAUCUUACGAUGGCAGUCCCGACAGAGUCCUCAGCAUAACCUGUUAGUAACUAUCGGCAAGGGUUGCGCUCGUUAUGGCACUUAAGCCGACACCUCACGGCACGAGCUGACGACAACCAUGCAGCACCUUCACAACCGCUAUUGCUAGCUAUAGCGUUUCCGCCAUAUUCGGUUGCAAUUUAAGCCCGGGUAAGGUUCCUCGCGUAUCAUCGAAUUAAACCACAUGUUCCUCCGCUUGUGCGGGCCCCCGUCAAUUCCUUUGAGUUUCACCGUUGCCGGCGUACUCCCCAGGUGGAAUACUUAAUGCUUUCGCUUGGCCGCAGACUGUAUAUCGCCUACAGCGAGUAUUCAUCGUUUACCGUGUGGACUACCAGGGUAUCUAAUCCUGUUUGAUACCCACACUUUCGAGCAUCAAUGUCAGUUACAGGUUAGUAAGCUGCCUUCGCAAUCGGAGUUCUUCGUGAUAUCUAAGCAUUUCACCGCUACACCACGAAUUCCGCCUACCUCAACUGUACUCAAGACUGCCAGUAUCAAUUGCAAUUUUACGGUUGAGCCGCAAACUUUCACAACUGACUUAACAACCCAUCUACGCUCCCUUUAAACCCAAUAAAUCCGGAUAACGCUCGGAUCCUCCGUAUUACCGCGGCUGCUGGCACGGAGUUAGCCGAUCCUUAUUCAUACGGUACAUGCAAAAAUCCACACGUGGAUUCGUUUAUUCCCGUAUAAAAGAAGUUUACAAUCCAUAGAACCUUCAUCCUUCACGCUACUUGGAUGGUUCAGACUCUCGUCCAUUGACCAAUAUUCCUCACUGCUGCCUCCCGUAGGAGUUUGGACCGUGUCUCAGUUCCAAUGUGGGGGGACCUUCCUCUCAGAACCCCUAUCCAUCG